UACGGGAGGCAGCAGUGGGGAAUAUUGCACAAUGGGCGCAAGCCUGAUGCAGCCAUGCCGCGUGUAUGAAAAAGGCCUUCGGGUUGUAAAGUACUUUCAGUCGUGAGGAAGGUGUUAAGGUUAAUAACCUUAGCAAUUGACGUUAGCGACAGAAGAAGCACCGGCUAACUCCGUGCCAGGCAGCCGCGGUAAUACGGAGGGUGCGAGCGUUAAUCGGAAUUACUGGGCGUUAAAGGGCACGCAGGCGGUUAAUUAAGUUGGAUGUGAAAUCCCCGGGCUUAACCUGGGAAUGGCAUUCAAGACUGGUUAGCUAGAGUCUUGUAGAGGGGGUAGAAUUCCAUGUGUAGCGGUGAAAUGCGUAGAGAUGUGGAGGAAUACCGGUGGCGAAGGCGGCCCCUGGACAAAGACUGACGCUCAUGUGCGAAAGCUGGGGAGCAAAC
RNAcentral lists this ribosomal RNA (440 nucleotides) under uncultured bacterium. Its description in RNAcentral is "bacterial SSU rRNA". It matches the Rfam family "Bacterial small subunit ribosomal RNA", at positions 340 to 773 of the family's 1533-position model. The record is from RNAcentral.